Molecule: ribosomal RNA, 497 nt
Filed under: uncultured bacterium
Lineage: Bacteria
Description: partial 16S ribosomal RNA
Rfam family: Bacterial small subunit ribosomal RNA
Source: RNAcentral
GAUGAACGCUGGCGGCGUGCCUAAUACAUGCAAGUCGAGCGAACGGACGAGAAGCUUGCUUCUCUGAUGUUAGCGGCGGACGGGUGAGUAACACGUGGAUAACCUACCUAUAAGACUGGGAUAACUUCGGGAAACCGUAGCUAAUACCGGAUAAUAUUUUGAACCGCAUGGUUCAAAAGUGAAAGACGGUCUUGCUGUCACUUAUAGAUGGAUCCGCGCUGCAUUAGCUAGUUGGUAAGGUAACGGCUUACCAAGGCAACGAUGCAUAGCCGACCUGAGAGGGUGGUCGGCCACACUGGAACUGAGACACGGUCCAGACUCCUACGGGAGGCAGCAGUAGGGAAUCUUCCGCAAUGGGCGAAAGCCUGACGGAGCAACGCCGCGUGAGUGAUGAAGGUCUUCGGAUCGUAAAACUCUGUUAUUAGGGAAGAACAUAUGUGUAAGGAACUGUGCACAUCUUGACGGUACCUAAUCAGAAAGCCACGGCUAACUACGUG